AGUUGCCAGCAUUCAGUUGGGCACUCUAAGGUGACUGCCGGCUAAAAGUCGGAGGAAGGUGGGAUGACGUCAAAUCAUCAUGCCCCUUAUGACCUGGGCUACACACGUGCUACAAUGGUUGGUACAACGAGUUGCGAGUCGGUGACGGCGAGCUAAUCUCUUAAAGCCAAUCUCAGUUCGGAUUGUAGGCUGCAACUCGCCUACAUGAAGUCGGAAUCGCUAGUAAUCGCGGAUCAGCACGCCGCGGUCGAAUACGUUCCCGGGCCUU
This 268-nucleotide ribosomal RNA is filed under the name uncultured Streptococcus sp. RNAcentral's name for it is "partial 16S ribosomal RNA". It matches the Rfam family "Bacterial small subunit ribosomal RNA", at positions 1113 to 1382 of the family's 1533-position model. Lineage: Bacteria; Bacillati; Bacillota; Bacilli; Lactobacillales; Streptococcaceae. The record is from RNAcentral.